AGACGGGGGGUGCUAGCGUUGUUCGGAAUUACUGGGCGUAAAGGGCGCGUAGGCGGCUCUGCGAGUCGGGCGUGAAAUCCCGGGGCUCAACCCCGGAACGGCGCUCGAUACUGCGGGGCUGGAGACCGGAAGAGGAGGGUGGAAUUCCCAGUGUAGAGGUGAAAUUCGUAGAUAUUAGGAGGAACACCGGUGGCGAAAGCGGCUCUCUGGUCCGGUUCUGACGCUGAGGCGCGAAAGCGUGGGGAGCAAACAGGAUUAGAAACCCCAGUAGUCC
This 274-nucleotide ribosomal RNA is filed under the name uncultured bacterium. RNAcentral describes it as "partial 16S ribosomal RNA". It matches the Rfam family "Bacterial small subunit ribosomal RNA", at positions 523 to 796 of the family's 1533-position model. The record is from RNAcentral.